UUUCCGUAGGUGAACCUGCGGAAGGAUCAUUAACACGAUUUCUGGAAGGCCUCACCGCUUUCCAUUUCUCAACCCACGCGAUCCAGAGCGCUUGCUCGGUGCGAACUGGUGAACUCGUACACCCGCUUGCGAGCGGGCCUUUUCCUUUCUUUUUCUUCUUUCCAACCCUUGAACUCCACGUGACUGACUUGAACAUUCGAUCAAACAAUCGCGAACAACUCUUAGCAACGGAUAUCUUGGCUCUC
Molecule: unclassified non-coding RNA, 245 nt
Filed under: soil metagenome
Description: partial contains small subunit ribosomal RNA, internal transcribed spacer 1, and 5.8S ribosomal RNA
Source: RNAcentral